This is a long non-coding RNA of Pseudopipra pipra, 498 nucleotides long. RefSeq lists it as uncharacterized. The record is from RefSeq and is a predicted model, not a curated record. Lineage: Eukaryota; Metazoa; Chordata; Aves; Passeriformes; Pipridae. The transcript is spliced from 4 exons.
ACCAUAGCUGUUAUGAUGAUGAUGAAGCAAUUACGAACUCAGUAUAUAAAGAUCCAUUUCUCAUAUUAUUCUCCUCUUCGGUUCUUGUCUCUAUGACAGGCCUUGCUCACAUGUCUACUACAUUUAAUGGCAAAGAGGAGUAAAGUAGAUUUGCUUCUCAUCCUGGUUUAUGUUUAGAAAAGCUGCCUACUCUCAUCAGUAAGACCAACUCCUUCCUCAAACCAAACAUAUGCUUUUCAGAAUCAAGUAUCACACUGUCAUAGUUCAAAAGUAAGCACAAGAUGCAGUCAGAAAGAAGCUGAAGUACCACCACCAUAAGAGGUUUUCUAUUGAGUAUCGACAGGUUUGGAAAAGAUACAUCAGAAAAACCUAAGAUGAGCACUAGAACUCAGGAGAGCUAGGAUACUGCUCCUCUUCAUCUGUGAAGGUGGGAUUCCAAUGAUCUUGUGUGGAGAUUUCCAGAAGCGUUUCGUGUUUUGAGUCCACAGCUGUUGGGAC